This 1296-nucleotide ribosomal RNA is filed under the name uncultured Chloroflexota bacterium. RNAcentral's name for it is "bacterial SSU rRNA". It matches the Rfam family "Bacterial small subunit ribosomal RNA", at positions 72 to 1380 of the family's 1533-position model. The record is from RNAcentral. Lineage: Bacteria; Bacillati; Chloroflexota.
GGUUAAUUUCGGUUGACCCCGAGAGUGGCGAACGGGUGCGUAACACGUAGAUGACCUACCCUGGAGAGGGGGACAACCACGGGAAACUGUGGCUAAUACCCCGGAUGACUGGAGGAUUAGAGGCCUCUGGUCUAAAGGCUCCGGCGCUCUGGGAGGGGUCUGCGGCCCAUCAGCUAGUUGGUAGGGUAAAGGCCUACCAAGGCGAAGACGGGUAGGGGGCGUGACGGCGUGGCCCCCCACACUGGUACUGAAAGACGGACCAGAUACCUACGGGUAGCAGCAGCAAGGGAUAUUGCACAAUGGGCGAAAGCCUGACGCAGCAACGCCGCGUGGAGGACGAAGGCCUUCGGGUUGUAAACUCCUUUUCUGGAAGAAUAAGCUUGUCAAAGGGCGGGCUUGCAGGUACUCCAGGAAGAAGAACCGGCUAACUACGUGCCAGCAGCCGCGGUAAAACGUAGGGUUCGAGCGUUAUCCGGAAUUACUGGGCGUAAAGGGCGUGUAGGCGGCUUAGGAAGUCGGACGUAAAAGCUCCCGGCCCAACUGGGAGAGGCCGUUCGAGACUCUUGAGCUAGAGGCUAGUAGAGGCAAGUGGAAUUCCCGGUGUAGUGGUGAAAUGCGUAGAUAUCGGGAGGAAGACCAGAGGCGAAGGCGGCUUGCUGGGUUAGGCCUGACGCUGAGACGCGAAAGCCAGGGGAGAGAACGGGAUUAGAAACCCUGGUAUUCCUGGCUGUAAACGAUGUCAACUAGGUGCGCGGCGUACCCAAUCCCUGCGUGCUGCCGCCAACGCAGUAAGUUGACCGCCUGGGGAGUACGGCCGCAAGGCUAAAACUCAAAGAAAUUGACGGGGGCCCACACAAGCAGCGGAGCGUGUGGUUUAAUUCGAGGCAACGCGAAGAACCUUACCAGGGUUGGACAUGGCGGUGGUAGGGAGGUGAAAGCCGACCGACUCUUCGGAGAGCCGCCACAGGUGCUGCAUGGCUGUCGUCAGCUCGUGCCGUGAGGUGUUAGGUUAAGUCCUGUAACGAGCGCAACCCACGUCGUCAGUUAUACGUGUCUGGCGAGACUGCCGGUGAUAAGCCGGAGGAAGGUGUGGAUGACGUCAAGUCAGCAUGGCCUUUAUAUCCUGGGCUACACACACGCUACAAUGGCCGGUACAAUGGGUAGCCAAGCCGCGAGGCGGAGCCAAUCCCGCAAAGCCGGUCUCAGUUCGGAUUGCAGGCUGCAACUCGCCUGCAUGAAGUCGGAGUUGCUAGUAACCGCAGGUCAGCCACACUGCGGUGAAUACGUUCCCGGGCC